This 432-nucleotide ribosomal RNA is filed under the name uncultured bacterium. RNAcentral describes it as "bacterial SSU rRNA". It matches the Rfam family "Bacterial small subunit ribosomal RNA", at positions 29 to 444 of the family's 1533-position model. The record is from RNAcentral.
AACGAACGCUGGCGGCGUGGAUUAGGCAUGCAAGUCGAACGGAACUUCUAGCUUUUUCGGAAGUUUAGUGGCGAAAGGGUGAGUAACACGUGACUAACCUGCCCUUGGGCUCGGGAUAACUUGCCGAAAGGCGAGCUAAUACCGGAUACGUUCUUGUUUCUUAACUGGGACAAGAGCAAAGAUGGGGACUUCUUCGGAAGCCUGUCACCUUUGGAUGGGGUCGCGGCCUAUCAGCUAGUUGGUGAGGUAAUGGCUCACCAAGGCUAAGACGGGUAGCUGGUCUGAGAGGAUGGUCAGCCACACUGGGACUGAGACACUGCCCAGACACCUACGGGUGGCUGCAGUCGAGAAUCUUUCGCAAUGGGGGAAACCCUGACGAAGCGACGCCGCGUGUAGGAUGAAGGCCUCGGUUGUAACGUACUAGUCAGCUGG